Molecule: ribosomal RNA, 371 nt
Filed under: uncultured organism
Description: bacterial SSU rRNA
Rfam family: Bacterial small subunit ribosomal RNA
Source: RNAcentral
CGUAGGAUGCAAGCGUUGUCCGGAUUUAUUGGGCGUAAAGAGUUCGUAGGCGGUUCGUUAAGUCUGGUGUUAAAGAUCGGGGCUCAACCCCGGGAGUGCACUGGAUACUGGCGGACUCGAGUAUGGUAGAGGCAAGUGGAAUUCCCAGUGUAGCGGUGAAAUGCGUAGAUAUUGGGAAGAACACCGGUGGCGCAAGCGACUUGCUGGGCCAUUACUGACGCUGAGGAACGAAAGCUAGGGGAGCGAAUGGGAUUAGAUACCCCAGUAGUCCUAGCCGUAAACGAUGGAUACUAGGCGUAUCGGGUAUCGACCCUGAUGUGCCGCAGCUAACGCGAUAAGUAUCCCGCCUGAGUAGUACGGCCGCAAGGUUG